Molecule: ribosomal RNA, 250 nt
Filed under: uncultured bacterium
Lineage: Bacteria
Description: partial 16S ribosomal RNA
Rfam family: Bacterial small subunit ribosomal RNA
Source: RNAcentral
GACGAACCGAGCGAACGUUGUUCGGAAUCACUGGGCUUAAAGGGCGCGUAGGCGGGUGCUCAAGUCCGGGGUGAAAUCCCACAGCUCAACUGUGGAACUGCCUCGGAUACUGGGUGUCUCGAGUGUGGUAGGGGUAUGCGGAACUAUCGGUGGAGCGGUGAAAUGCGUUGAUAUCGAUAGGAACUCCGGUGGCGAAGGCGGCAUACUGGACCACUUCUGACGCUGAGGCGCGAAAGCCAGGGGAGCAAAC